CACCGCGGUUAUACGAGCGGUUCGAGCUGAUAGAUUACGGCGUAAAGCGUGGUUAAUAAGAAUGAAACUAAAGUCGAAUGUUUUCAAAGCUGUUAUACGCACUCGAAAAUUAGAAGGUCAGAAACGAAAGUGACUUUAACCCUAUGAACCCACGAAAACUAUGAAA
Molecule: ribosomal RNA, 166 nt
Filed under: Oryzias curvinotus
Lineage: Eukaryota; Metazoa; Chordata; Actinopteri; Beloniformes; Adrianichthyidae
Description: partial 12S rRNA
Source: RNAcentral